GGUGAGUAACGCGUAAGAAACUUGCCUUUUGGACUGGGACAACUGUUGGAAACGACAGCUAAUACCGGAUAUUAUGAAAUUUCCGCAUGGAGAAUUUAUGAAAGCUAUAUGCGCCAAAAGAGAGUCUUGCGUUCCAUUAGCUAGUUGGUGGGGUAAUGGCCCACCAAGGCGACGAUGGAUAGCCGGCCUGAGAGGGUGAACGGCCACAAGGGGACUGAGACACGGCCCUUACUCCUACGGGAGGCAGCAGUGGGGAAUAUUGGACAAUGGGCCACAAGCCUGAUCCAGCAAUUCUGUGUGCACGAUGACGGUCUUAGGAUUGUAAAGUGCUUUCAGUUGGGAAGAAGAAAGUGACGGUACCAACAGAAGAAGCGACGGCUAAAUACGUGCCAGCAGCCGCGGUAAUACGUAUGUCGCAAGCGUUAUCCGGAUUUAUUGGGCGUAAAGCGCGUCUAGGCGGGAAAGCAAGUCUGAUGUGAAAAUGCGGGGCUCAACUCCGUAUUGCGUUGGAAACUACUUUUCUAGAGUAUCAGAGAGGUGGGCGGAACUACAAGUGUAGAGGUGAAAUUCGUAGAUAUUUGUAGGAAUGCCGAUGGAGAAGUCAGCUCACUGGAUGAAUACUGACGCUAAAGCGCGAAAGCGUGGGGAGCAAGCAGGAUUAGAUACCCUGGUAGUCCACGCCGUAAACGAUGAUCACUAGGUGUUGGGGGUCGAACCUCAGCGCCCAAGCUAACGCGAUAAGUGAUCCGCCUGGGGGAGUACGUACGCAAGUAUGAAACUCAAAGGAAUUGACGGGGACCCGCACAAGCGGUGG
This 814-nucleotide ribosomal RNA is filed under the name uncultured bacterium. RNAcentral's name for it is "bacterial SSU rRNA". It matches the Rfam family "Bacterial small subunit ribosomal RNA", at positions 105 to 935 of the family's 1533-position model. The record is from RNAcentral.